RNAcentral lists this ribosomal RNA (950 nucleotides) under uncultured archaeon. RNAcentral describes it as "bacterial SSU rRNA". It matches the Rfam family "Archaeal small subunit ribosomal RNA", at positions 1 to 959 of the family's 1478-position model. The record is from RNAcentral.
UUCCGGUUGAUCCUGCCGGAGGCCACUGCUAUUGGGAUCCGACUAAGCCAUGCGAGUCGAGAGGGUUCGGCCCUCGGCAGACUGCUCAGUAACACGUGGAUAACCUAACCUUAGGUGGAAGAUAACCUCGGGAAACUGAGAAUAAUAUUCCAUAGAUCUAGGAUGCUGGAAUGCAUCUAGAUUGAAAGUUCCGACGCCUAAGGAUGGGUCUGCGGACUAUCAGGUUGUAGUCAGGGUAAAGACCUGACUAGCCUACAACGGAUAUGGGUUGUGAGAGCAAUAGCCCAGAGACGAUAUCUGAGACACGAUAUCGGGCCCUACGGGGCGCAGCAGGCGCGAAAUCUUCACAAUGUGCGAAAGCACGAUGAGGGGAUCCCAAGUGCUGGCACGUAAGUGUCAGCUGUUUCUUAGUCUAAAAAACUGAGAGAGUAAGGGCUGGGUAAGACGGGUGCCAGCCGCCGCGGUAAUACCUGCAGCUCAAGUGGUGGCCGCUAUUAUUGGGCCUAAAACGUCCGUAGCCUGUUUAGUAAAUGCUUGGGUAAAUUGUGUAGCUUAACUAUACGAAUACCGGGUAGACUGCUAAACUUGGGACCGGGAGAGGCUAGAGGUACUCCUGGGGUAGAGGUGAAAUUCUGUAAUCCUAGGGGGACCACCAGUGGCGAAGGCGUCUAGCUAGAACGGGUCUGACGGUGAGGGACGAAGCCCUGGGGCGCAAACCGGAUUAGAUACCCGGGUAGUCCAGGGUGUAAACGCUGCUUGCUUGAUGUUAGUUGGGCUCCGAGCCCAACUAGUGUCGGAGAGAAGUUGUUAAGCAAGCUGCCUGGGAAGUACGGUCGCAAGACUGAAACUUAAAGGAAUUGGCGGGGGAGCACAGCAACGGGUGGAGCGUGCGGUUUAAUUGGAUUCAACGCCGGAAAUCACUAGUGCGGCCGCCUGCAGGUCGACCAUAU